Molecule: ribosomal RNA, 258 nt
Filed under: uncultured bacterium
Lineage: Bacteria
Description: partial 16S ribosomal RNA
Source: RNAcentral
CUGCUGCCUCCCGUAGGAGUUUGGGCCGUGUCUCAGUCCCAAUGUGGCCGGCCACCCUCUCAGGUCGGCUACUGAUCGUCGCCUUGGUGGGCCGUUACCUCACCAACCAGCUAAUCAGACGCGGGUCCAUCUCAUACCACCGGAGUUUUUCACACUUGACCAUGCGGUCCUGUGCGCUUAUACGGUAUUAGCAGUCAUUUCUAACUGUUAUCCCCCUGUAUGAGGCAGGUUACCCACGCGUUACUCACCCGUCCGCCG